UUCAGAUACUGUUUGUUUGAAUGAAUUGAUAUUGACUGGUGUUGAACAUAUGUAGAUGUAGAAAUUUCUCUUGGAAAGUGCUUUGGCUAACUCUAUGAAAGGACAUAUAUGACCAUGAGCUAGCCAUGCAAAAGGAAAAGCAUGAAAACGUGGCAGAAGAGAAGGGGUAUACAGAUGCAUAAGAGGAAGAAAGAAAAGAAAAUGAUCCAAUUUGUGAAAGGCAAAAUGCAAUAUGCAAUAUGCUGGUCUUUAUGUGUAAUACGUUUUAACAAAAGGCUUUUGUCCAUUGCCAAAAAAAGUUGCAUGAUCAAGGCUAUGAUUGGAAAAUGAUUUCCAUUGUGAUGAUCGAGUGUAAUAAUGGUAGGAGUAUAUCUGAUAUGAUAGAGUCGAAUAAUGCUUGGAUUGGUAAUUGAUUUUUAUGAAAUAUAUAUGUAUAGCGAUACAUAUUAAAUUUUGGUACGAUG
Long non-coding RNA from Lycium barbarum (goji berry), 464 nucleotides. RefSeq lists it as uncharacterized. The record is from RefSeq and is a predicted model, not a curated record. NCBI's taxonomy places the organism in Eukaryota, Viridiplantae, Streptophyta, Magnoliopsida, Solanales, Solanaceae. The transcript has 3 exons.